RNAcentral lists this ribosomal RNA (492 nucleotides) under Triticum aestivum (bread wheat). RNAcentral's name for it is "partial small subunit ribosomal RNA". The record is from RNAcentral. Lineage: Eukaryota; Viridiplantae; Streptophyta; Magnoliopsida; Poales; Poaceae.
AUGGGCAAAGAAAUUGAAAUUGAGGACACAGAUGAUCCUGAUUUGAAAUAUCAAAAGAAGGAAGAUGGAUGGAUGGAUGAUAAACGAGAAAACAGAAGAUAUGCCGCUGGUGAGUGGGCAACACCGACGACAAGGAGCAGCCGCUGGGAGCGGUGGAAGCGGAUGUGGCCAUUGGCGGCGGUGAAGCAGGGGUGUCGGGCUCCCGGCAACGGGGCCAUGGCGCGGAGCGGGUUGAUGUGCAGGGACCAGAUGUGGCCACCAUUGGCGGUGGUGAAGCAGGGGUGCCGGGCUCCUGGCGGCGGGGCCAUGGUGCAGAGCGACUUGACGUGCAGGGACGGGAUGUCGGCGAACUCCACCGGAUCUAGGCAUGGGGACGGCACAUGCCGUGGAUCUGGUGGCGCGAGCAAUCGUAAUAGCCUGCGGCGAUCGGUUAGCGUCCACUUGGGGGCAGCCAUGGCCGGUUCAUGUGGGGAGUCUCAGACAGAGAUGUGA